GUCAAGGUCUCCGAACCUGAAGGUGCUAACAGAAAGGCGGUCGUGGUCCUUAAUAAGGAAUCGUUGCCGUUACUCCGAGAGAAGCAAGGCAAAGUAUACUACGGAUUUGAUAGUAUCAAGCUGCGCGUCUACCGGGGUGACGACAAACUAGACCCCAAACCGGUAAGCACGGACGGAGGAAAGGUAGACGAUACCACUAACUCUGACGACCAAAUGGACGCCCAAUCAAGUACAGACUUGAUUGGGAAUCUAUUUGAUAGCCAGGGCGAAGUGAUUGACGAAGACGAGCUUCUGAAAACAGACCCAGAAGACGCCGACGUCACAAUCGUCUACGACCCUGACCAAGAUGAAGGUGAUCCAAGUGAACCUUCACCACUCUAAAGCAGCUUCAGCUGCAUUACACCUCCACCUUGGAUAUCAAGGGGAGGAUAUAGCGUUGAUCCAAGAGCCGUGGACCCAUAACGGCAACUUACUUGGAAUCAACGUAAAAGGCUUUAAAAUACUGUACGCAAAAGGCACAGUGAUGAAGAUACAGUAACCGCAGCAUGGGAGACAGAGGAAUCCACAAUGUGGAUCCUCUCCUGCUAUAUGGCGCACGACCAGACAGACCCCCCGCCAAGUAACACGGUCGUCAGGGCAGUAAGUGCAGCAAACGGAAAACGCAUCCCUGUUAUUAUAGGCGCAGAUGCAAACGCACACCAUACACUAUGGGGUAGCACCAACAUCAACACACGAGGUAUCACAAAGGGACCAACAGGACCCAAGUGUGCGUCUUUGCAGCCUGAAUACCUAACCUA
RNAcentral lists this long non-coding RNA (797 nucleotides) under Lucilia cuprina (Australian sheep blowfly). RNAcentral describes it as "uncharacterized LOC124420451". The record is from RNAcentral. Lineage: Eukaryota; Metazoa; Arthropoda; Insecta; Diptera; Calliphoridae.